This 460-nucleotide ribosomal RNA is filed under the name uncultured bacterium. Its description in RNAcentral is "partial 16S ribosomal RNA". It matches the Rfam family "Bacterial small subunit ribosomal RNA", at positions 338 to 795 of the family's 1533-position model. The record is from RNAcentral.
CCUACGGGAGGCAGCAGUGAGGAAUAUUGGUCAAUGGACGAGAGUCUGAACCAGCCAAGUAGCGUGAAGGAUGACUGCCCUAUGGGUUGUAAACUUCUUUUAUAAAGGAAUAAAACGAGGCACGUGUGCCUUUUUGCAUGUACUUUAUGAUUAAGGAUCGGCUAACUCCGUGCCAGCAGCAGCGGUAAUACGGAGGAUCCGAGCGUUAUCCGGAUUUAUUGGGUUUAAAGGGAGCGUAGAUGGGUUGUUAAGUCAGUUGUGAAAGUUUGCGGCUCAAACGUAAGAUUGCAAUUGAUACUGGCAGUCUAGAGUACAGUUGAGGUAGGCGGAAUUCGUGGUGUAGCGGUGAAAUGCGUAGAUAUCACGAAGAACCCCGAUUGCGAAGGCAGCUUACUAAGCUGUGACUGACAUUGAUGCUCGAAAGUGUGGGUAUCAAACAGGAUUAGAUACCCGUGUAGUC